Triticum aestivum (bread wheat) is the source of this 133-nucleotide non-coding RNA. NCBI's taxonomy places the organism in Eukaryota, Viridiplantae, Streptophyta, Magnoliopsida, Poales, Poaceae. The record is from Rfam.
CAUAUACUCCCUCCGUUCCUAAAUAUAAGUCUUUUUAGAGAUUUCAAUAAGUGACUACAUAUGGAGCAUCUGUAUGUAGUCACUUAUUGAAAUCUCUAAAAAGACUUACAUUUAGGAACGGAGGGAGUAUUAU